Molecule: small RNA, 2143 nt
Filed under: Pongo abelii (Sumatran orangutan)
Lineage: Eukaryota; Metazoa; Chordata; Mammalia; Primates; Hominidae
Description: retained intron
Source: RNAcentral
AUUCCCAUCCCCCUCCUCUAGUCCCCGACCUGCGGCAGCCGGAGCUCGGGGAGCGGAGCGUGGUGGGGAGGGGAGCGGGACAGGCGACACGGGAGACAGCGGCGCCGCGGCCUCUCCCCAGCAGGCGGCCCCGGAUCCCACUGGACGCCCUGAGGGCACACCGACCGCGCCUCUAGAGUCACCCCACGCCGACCCCUCGCCUCUUCUCUAGACUUCUUUCCAUCCUUCCCGCUUUUACCCUCCCCACCCCUCCCUGGGCUCCAGGCCGCCGCCCCCUCCUCAUUCCUGGACCGGCCCUUCUCGGUGCCCCUCUUCCCUAGGGAGAUGCGAUGAGCCGGUGCCCCCGCGUCCUCAUCGUCGCCCCGGGCACAGUGCCCGUCCAGUGCCCGUGGUGGGGAGGGAGCACUUCGCGGUCCCUCCGUGACGCCCCUCGCUUGGCCCCCCCCACAGCUGGCGUCCCUCGGCUAUGCCCCAGGGGACCCAGCCAGGGGGUGGGCUCUAGAGCGAGCGGGGUGGAGAGGAGAAAGGACGGGGCCUUGGGCGCCUCUGAGAUGCUCCCAAGUGCCAGGGAGGGCCGAGCGAGGCGCAGGCAACCGGGCAGCAGGCAUGAUGCCCUCGCCUAGUGACUCCAGCCGCUCGCUGACCAGCCGGCCCAGCACCAGGGGCCUUACCCACCUCCGCCUCCACCGACCCUGGCUGCAGGCCCUGCUUACGCUGGGGCUGGUCCAGGUGCUCCUGGGCAUCCUGGUGGUCACCUUCAGCAUGGUAGCCUCUUCCGUCACCACCACCGAGAGCAUCAAGAGGUCCUGCCCGUCUUGGGCUGGGUUCUCGCUGGUGUUCUCCGGGGUGGUUGGCAUUGUGUCCUGGAAGCGGCCAUUCACUCUAGUGAUCUCCUUCUUCUCCUUGCUUUCGGUGCUCUGUGUCAUGCUUAGCAUGGCUGGCUCUGUUCUCUCCUGUAAGAAUGCUCAACUGGCCCGAGACUUCCAACAGUGCUCUCUGGAAGGAAAGGUCUGUGUGUGCUGUCCCUCUGUUCCCCUCCUCCGGCCCUGUCCAGAGUCGGGGCAGGAACUGAAAGUUGCCCCUAACUCCACCUGUGAUGAAGCCCGAGGGGCCCUCAAGAACCUGCUCUUCAGCGUCUGUGGGCUCACCAUUUGUGCCGCUAUAAUCUGUACCCUCUCUGCUAUUGUCUGCUGCAUCCAAAUCUUCUCCCUGGACCUCGUGCAUACGGUGAGAAGGGAGCAGGGGCCAGGGCACGCAGGUAUGGUGGGGGCAGGGGUGUGUGUGCUGAGACUUGCCUGAGGGAACAAUGGCUACAGAUCUGGCUUUUGAGCAUCAGGGGCUAUGGGUUAUCUAUUAUCCUCAUCUAUUGGAGGAAUGGAUGUUUAGUGGGGAGGAUGAGAAGGGGAGAUGGCAGGGAGUGAGUUAAGUAUGUGAUGCCGGUCUGGAAACAGGAGAGGGGGCUUUAGAGAAUGGGACUGGAUGGUGGGGUAGAGUCAAGAAGGUCCUACGCUGGGCACGAUGGCUCAUUCCUGUAAUCCCAGCACUUUGAGAGGCCCAGGCAGGCAGAUCACCUGAGGCCAGGAGUUCAAGACCAACGUGGCCAACGUGGCGAAACCCUGUCUCUAUUAAAAAUACAAAAAUCGGGCCAGGCGUGGUGGCAGGCGCCUGUGGUCCCAGCUACUUGGGAGGCUGAGGCAGGAGAAUGGCAUGAACCCAGGAGGCGGAGCUUGCAGUGAGCUGAGAUAGUGCCACUGCACUCCAGCCUGGGCGACAGAGCGAGACUCCAUCUCAAAAAACAAACAAACAAAAUACAAAAAUUAGCCAAGUGUGAUGGCAGAUGCCUGUAAUCCCAGCUACUUGGGAGUCUGAGGCAGGAAAAUUGCUUGAACUGGGGAGGCAGAGGCUGCAGUGAGCUGAGAUGGUGCCACUGCACUCCAGCCUGGGCGACAGAGCGAGACUCCAUCUCAAAAAACAAACAAACAAAAUACAAAAAUUAGCCAAGUGUGAUGGCAGGUGCCUGUAAUCCCAGCUACUUGGGAGUCUGAGGCAGGAAAAUUGCUUGAACUGGGGAGGCAGAGGCUGCAGUGAGCUGAGAUGGUGCCACUGCACUCCAGCCUCGGCGACAAGAGCAAGACUCCGUCUC